Molecule: non-coding RNA, 47 nt
Organism: Anopheles culicifacies
Lineage: Eukaryota; Metazoa; Arthropoda; Insecta; Diptera; Culicidae
Source: Rfam
AAAACGGUCCUUUUCAGGACUACAAAAGUUUUGUACCAUAAAGAUGU